ACUCCUACGGGAGGCAGCAGUGGGGAAUCUUGGACAAUGGGCGCAAGCCUGAUCCAGCCAUGCCGCGUGAGUGAUGAAGGCCCUAGGGUCGUAAAGCUCUUUCGCCAGGGAUGAUAAUGACAGUACCUGGUAAAGAAACCCCGGCUAACUCCGUGCCAGCAGCCGCGGUAAUACGGAGGGGGUUAGCGUUGUUCGGAAUUACUGGGCGUAAAGCGCGCGUAGGCGGAUUAGUCAGUUAGAGGUGAAAUCCCAGGGCUCAACCCUGGAACUGCCUUUAAUACUGCUAGUCUUGAGUUCGAGAGAGGUGAGUGGAAUUCCGAGUGUAGAGGUGAAAUUCGUAGAUAUUCGGAGGAACACCAGUGGCGAAGGCGGCUCACUGGCUCGAUACUGACGCUGAGGUGCGAAAGUGUGGGGAGCAAACAGGAUUAGAUACCCUGGUAGCGACUGA
This 448-nucleotide ribosomal RNA is filed under the name uncultured bacterium. RNAcentral's name for it is "bacterial SSU rRNA". It matches the Rfam family "Bacterial small subunit ribosomal RNA", at positions 335 to 799 of the family's 1533-position model. The record is from RNAcentral.